CGCGGUUAUACGAGAGGCCCAAGUUGAUAAAUGCCGGCGUAAAAUGUGGUUAUAUAGAAUUAAACUAAAGCUAAACAUCUUCAAAGCUGUUAUACGCACCCGAAGACAGGAAGCACUUCCACGAAAGUGGCUUUAUAUACUAUCACCCCACGAAAGCUAGGGCACAAACUGGGAUUAGAUACCCCACUAUGCCUAGCCAUAAACACAAGUAGUAAUUUACAUCUUUGCUUGCCCGGGAACUACGAGCCCCAGCUUAAAACCCAAAGGACUUGGCGGUGCUUUAGACCCCCCUAGAGGAGCCUGUUCUAGAACCGAUAACCCCCGUUAAACCUCACCCUCCCUUGUUAAUACCGCCUAUAUACCGCCGUCGUCAGCUUACCCUGUGAAGGAUAAAUAGUGAGCCCAAUUGGCACAGCCUAAAACGUCAGGUCGAGGUGUAGCGUACGAGAGGGGAAGAAAUGGGCUACAUUCACUGAAUCAGUGCACACGAACAAUGCUUUGAAACAACCAUUUAAAGGAGGAUUUAGCAGUAAGAGGAAAAUAGAGUGCUCCUCUGAAACUGGCCCUGAAGCGCGCACACACCGCCCGUCACUCUCCCCAAAAAUAAGGCUAUAAUAAAUAAAAAGCAACUAAAACAAAGGGGAGGCAAGUCGUAACAUGGUAAGUGUACCGGAAGGUGCACUUG
RNAcentral lists this ribosomal RNA (685 nucleotides) under Eutaeniichthys gilli. RNAcentral describes it as "partial 12S rRNA". It matches the Rfam family "Bacterial small subunit ribosomal RNA", at positions 516 to 1520 of the family's 1533-position model. The record is from RNAcentral. Lineage: Eukaryota; Metazoa; Chordata; Actinopteri; Gobiiformes; Gobiidae.